This 21-nucleotide microRNA is filed under the name Arabidopsis thaliana (thale cress). RNAcentral describes it as "ath-miR5998b". The record is from miRBase by way of RNAcentral. Lineage: Eukaryota; Viridiplantae; Streptophyta; Magnoliopsida; Brassicales; Brassicaceae.
ACAGUUUGUGUUUUGUUUUGU